This 253-nucleotide ribosomal RNA is filed under the name uncultured bacterium. RNAcentral's name for it is "partial 16S ribosomal RNA". It matches the Rfam family "Bacterial small subunit ribosomal RNA", at positions 524 to 776 of the family's 1533-position model. The record is from RNAcentral.
UACGUAGGGUGCGAGCGUUGUCCGGAAUUACUGGGCGUAAAGAGCUUGUAGGUGGUUUGUCGCGUUGUUCGUGAAAUCUCACGGCUUAACUGUGAGCGUGCGGGCGAUACGGGCAGACUAGAGUACUGCAGGGGAGACUGGAAUUCCUGGUGUAGCGGUGAAAUGCGCAGAUAUCAGGAGGAACACCGGUGGCGAAGGCGGGUCUCUGGGCCGAUACUGACGCUGAGGUGCGAAAGCGUGGGGAGCAAACAGG